CAUCAAUCCCUCAAUGACCCCAAAAAAGUCCUAGCCCCUCCCCCCGGGGCGCGGUUACCCCAUCCCUUUCCACCUAAAACAGAAAAACCAAAAUGAAGAAAAGGAACAAAAGAGGGAGAAGAAAGAAAAGGAAAGGAAGAAGAGGGAGGUGACAGAGGAUGGCCGCCGCCGUUGCGUUGUGGCUGUAGGACUUGCUAAGACGGGCUUGUCGUUCUUCAUCUCUCUCUCUCUCUCUGUUGGGGGUUCGUCGUGCCGCCGUCGCUGGGUUCAGCCGUUCCGUCGCUGUUAGACCAAUCCUCUACUGCUCCCCUCAUCUUCUCUAUGCAUCUGCGGACUUUCUCUUCGCCGUCGCGGGGCCUGGGCUCCGGUUCCUCUCCUGUCACACUAUGUUUUGCUGCGCCGCCAUCGCUAGAGUUUCAACCAUUCUGUCGUUGUUGGGUGAAUGCUAGCCGGCAGUUUGUUGGAGUAGCUGAGAUGCUUGGACCAAUGGACUUCAACAAAGACACGAAAUUUUGAAAACUUUACAAAUUCAAUGGAUUCUUCCCAAUUUGGUGGCUUAUAAUAAAGGAUGUUCCCAAUGCUCACACUACUAGAAAAUUAGUUAUUACAGACAGAUAUUUUUGAUGAAUUUUAUCCUACAGAAAUACAGAUUGAAUUUCAGAGGAAUUUUUUAUCGAAAAAUAAAAAAAAUAAAUUAGCAUAAAUUAUAGACAGAAAACAGAAUCUGUCGAUAAUUCUGUCAGUAAAAUUAAUUUUUUUGUGGGAAAUGGUUACAGACGGAAAAUUCGUCUAUAAUUAAAUAGACAAAACGCUGGCGUUUUAUUAAAUUAUUACAGACGAAUAAAUUCGUCUGUAAUUUAAAAUUUUCCGUCGGAAAUAUUAAGUUAACCCUGAUUUUAUCACCACCCUUAUCGAGCUCCAUUCUCCUCCUGACCUAUGAACUCAUUUUCACCCUCAUCCCUUCCUCUUCAAAGUUGUCAUCGAACGCUUCUCCUCCGGUAGAAGGUGCUGUCGCCGCGCCGGGGACAGACCGUGGGUGCCUUUGUCAUCUGGGGAAGCUCUACUCGACCCUCUUCGCAUUGUUUCUCCUCUCCUCGCCGUCGCACCAAGUUUUGAGUUGAGCUCGUGGCGUCACCGUCACGAAGGGUUCCUCCCCUCCUCGCCGUGCAUCAUUUUUGAUUCUCUGCUCCUCGCCGUUUUUGCCUUUGAUUUUGUGAUUUCAUUUCUAAUUUUGUGAUUUCAUCUCUGCUUCCUUUCAUUUUUUCUUAUUUCCUUAUCAACCUUUUGGUUUAUUUCUUUGAUUUCUUCUGUUAGAAUUUGUUCCUGCAGAAUUUGAUUUAGUUAGUUGCUUUCUGGUGCUUAAAUUUUUUUUAAUGGGAAUAAUCAAGUAAUCUAUCUUUUCUAGGGUUUGGAGGCUAUGUCCAAAGCUGACUUGAGUUCACUGUGAAUCACUAUUAAUUGCCACAAGCUCUUCUCUUUUUUUCUUUAUUUGUUUAUUUGGAUCUUUAAUUUCGAGUAGCUGUGCUGUGAUUUAUGAUCUAUUCCACUCUCGAUUUCUUUUGAUGCUGUUUUUUUUCCUCCAAGUUUUUUAAUUGUUCAUUGUGUGAGCUGUCGAGCUGGGUCAAUUUUGUUAGUAUAUCACAAGUAGAAAACUUCUCGUGGUACUUUUAUUUGUUAAUCAAUAUAACUAGGACCGCAGCACCAUCUUUCAAUAAUCAAUACGUUGCAUGCUUCAUACAUCAAAGAUCCAUUUGUUGUGACAGCUUUAGGUAUCAUAGAAGCUGUAGCUGUGGUAACUUUGGAAGGCACUUCAUCUUCUUCAUCAACUUCAAUUACCAACAAUCCACACCUACGUCUAUUUUACUGGGCUUAAAGUUCUUCCAUGGAUGCAGAAUGCUUUAUAUUCUCAAAAUCCGUCUUAACUUGUAAACCUGAAAAAGUAGAAAUCCCUUAUCCUUAGUCCUGUCAUGUAGGUAUAAGUGGUCAAUAACAAGAUAUAUGCUUUUCUUGAUUAUAUCAUGUGAUAUUUACUUUAAAAGACAUAAAUUUUUCAGGUAGCAGUCAUAUAAGAAUUUACUUUUAUAUGAAGAUAAUACAUUUUAAUCACUUGUAAAAGGUAAAUCCUUGCCUGGAGUGUAUGGAGAUUUAUUACUAUAAUGUGCCAUUGAUCAUGAGUACUGAAAUGUAAAUAUGGUCCCAUCCAUUAUCCAAAUCCUAGUAUACAAAUCCCCAAGACCACACUAUAAUGAAAUUUAAAAUUAUUUGACAUAUUUAAUCUGUUUUCUUUUAUUGAUCAAGGUUGAGAGUCCAACAGAGUCAGUGUCUUUAGUCUUUACCUCUACUGUGCUUGUUUUUAAUUUUGGAGAAAUUGAGGAAGUGUGCAAUUAAUUAAUAAAGCAUCCAGAAAAUCUAAUAUGUUUUUUUUUUUUUUUUAAGAGUAGUUAAUAUUUUUAUGUGUUAUUAAGAAGUAAGAACUCAAAAAAAUGACUUCAACUUUUAACAUUUUCCAUGCUCAGCUUAUGCAACCAUACAAGAUUGAGAAAUAAUUUAGAAAAGAAAAUAAAACAAAUAAAUUAUCUACCUGAGCAGUUCUGCUAGGCAGUGACACCAGUAAGCAGUUUCGAAGAUUGAAGAUAAGGUACCAAGUUUUUUGUGUUUUUGUUAUUAGAAUGUGGAUGCACGUUAAUUGGUUGUAUCAAUGUGCAACAUUCGCUUUACAUUCAAAGCAAUUCUUCAUUUGUUUCUUGCAUGGUCCUGUUCUAAAUAUAUUGGCAGUUAAUUUAGUGCUCUGCAAAUGCUUCUUGAUAUGGCCAUUUUUUCAUUAAACACUUGACCAAGAAAACGUUCUCACCUAGCCUUGCCUAAAACCAACAACUUCUGGUUUCUAGGCUUGUUUGGUUCUACCGAUAUAGAACCUGCUGUGGUUUGAUUUGGGAUCUGAGACGUCAUUGAACAAAAAUCUGGACGAGGAUACUCUAAUGGUAUUGUCUCUGUUAAGAUUGGAUUAAAGCAGGGCCUGGAGAUGCUGAAUAUCUUCAAAAACUAUUCUGUCAAGACAUCUCUACUAAAUGAUUUUGACUUCUAUGAGAACCGAGAGAAAUUACUUUGUUCAGAUAAAAGAUCCAAGGGGGAGUUUGAUGGUUUAUUCUAGCUUCUUAUGAAAAACAUAAACCAAUUUUUUACUUUGCUAACCUAAUAAAAAAUUCAGCUAUUGGAGGAUCAGAACAAUAUCGAAGCAAGCCUAAGCGUACAAUUCGAAGACCGGAAGGAUAUGGGUAUGACAGUUACCAAAAUACUGCCAAAGCAGGAGAGAAAAAAAUAGGAAUACAAUCAAGUGGUACUAAAGAAGAUAACAUAGUCUCUCUUACAAAACAACUUUCUCUAAAUUCCUUUUGCAAAAACAAGUCUUCAAAUAGCUAGAUUAUUACGUUAACAAAUGUUAGUUUCUUAUUUAUUUCUUCAUUUAAUUUGGUGUCAUAUCCCCUUGUUCAAUGUUCACGAAUAUCUCUGUGAUUCUGUCUAAUUAAAUUGUGUUAUACCUAUGAUCAUAUUAACAUUAUUAUGUGCAUGAUUUGCCU
Molecule: long non-coding RNA, 3578 nt
Organism: Arachis duranensis
Lineage: Eukaryota; Viridiplantae; Streptophyta; Magnoliopsida; Fabales; Fabaceae
Exons: 5
Source: RefSeq, a predicted model, not a curated record